AUACGGAAGGUGCGAGCGUUAUCCGGAUUUAUUGGGUUUAAAGGGUGCGUAGGCGGAUGAUUAAGCGUGAGGUGAAAUGCCACUGCUCAACAGUGGAACUGCCUCGCGAACUGGUUGUCUUGAAUGCUCCUGCCGUGGGAGGAAUGUGUGGUGUAGCGGUGAAAUGCAUAGAGAUCACACAGAACACCGAUUGCGAAGGCAUCUCACGAAGGGGUGAUUGACGCUGAGGCACGAAAGCGUGGGGAUCAAACAGGAUUAGAUACCCUGGUAGUCCACGCAGUAAACGAUGAUGACUAACUGCCGGCCCGUUGCGGGUCGGUGGCCAAGCGAAAGCGAUAAGUCAUCCACCUGGGGAGUACGACCGCAAGGUUGAAACUCAAAUGAAUUGGCGGGG
RNAcentral lists this ribosomal RNA (394 nucleotides) under uncultured bacterium. RNAcentral describes it as "partial 16S ribosomal RNA". It matches the Rfam family "Bacterial small subunit ribosomal RNA", at positions 523 to 918 of the family's 1533-position model. The record is from RNAcentral.